RNAcentral lists this ribosomal RNA (890 nucleotides) under human gut metagenome. RNAcentral describes it as "bacterial SSU rRNA". It matches the Rfam family "Bacterial small subunit ribosomal RNA", at positions 8 to 910 of the family's 1533-position model. The record is from RNAcentral.
AGAGUUUGAUCCUGGCUCAGGACGAACGCUGGCGGCGCGCCUAACACAUGCAAGUCGAACGGAAUCAAGAGGAGCUUGCUUUUCUUGAUUUAGUGGCGAACGGGUGAGUAACGCGUGAGUAACCUGCCCUGGAGUGGGGGACAACAGUUGGAAACGACUGCUAAUACCGCAUAAGCCCACGGUACCGCAUGGUACUGAGGGAAAAGGAUUUAUUCGCUCUAGGAUGGACUCGCGUCCAAUUAGCUAGUUGGUGAGGUAACGGCCCACCAAGGCGACGAUUGGUAGCCGGACUGAGAGGUUGAACGGCCACAUUGGGACUGAGACACGGCCCAGACUCCUACGGGAGGCAGCAGUGGGGGAUAUUGCACAAUGGGGGAAACCCUGAUGCAGCGACGCCGCGUGGAGGAAGAAGGUUUUCGGAUUGUAAACUCCUGUCGUUAGGGACGAUAAUGACGGUACCUAACAAGAAAGCACCGGCUAACUACGUGCCAGCAGCCGCGGUAAAACGUAGGGUGCAAGCGUUGUCCGGAAUUACUGGGUGUAAAGGGAGCGCAGGCGGACCGGCAAGUUGGAAGUGAAAUCCAUGGGCUCAACCCGUGAAUUGCUUUCAAAACUGCUGGCCUUGAGUAGUGCAGAGGUAGGUGGAAUUCCCGGUGUAGCGGUGGAAUGCGUAGAUAUCGGGAGGAACACCAGUGGCGAAGGCGACCUACUGGGCACCAACUGACGCUGAGGCUCGAAAGCAUGGGUAGCAAACAGGAUUAGAUACCCUGGUAGUCCAUGCCGUAAACGAUGAUUACUAGGUGUUGGAGGAUUGACCCCUUCAGUGCCGCAGUUAACACAAUAAGUAAUCCACCUGGGGAGUACGACCGCAAGGUUAAACUCAGACGAAU